UGUUGGUAGGGUAACGGCCUACCAAGGUAACGAUCAGUAGCCGACCUGAGAGGGUGAACGGCCACAUUGGAACUGAGACACGGUCCAAACUUCUACGGAAGGCAGCAGUAAGGAAUCUUGCACAAUGGGGGGAACCCUGAUGCAGCAACGCCGCGUGAACGAAGAAAGCCUUCGGGUUGUAAAGUUCUGAUCUUGGGGAAGAAAUCAAUGACGGUACCCAAGGAGAAAGCCCCGGCUAACUACGUGCCAGCAGCCGCGGUAAUACGUAGGGGGCAAGCGUUAUCCGGAAUUAUUGGGCGUAAAGGGUGCGUAGGUGGCAGUAUAAGCGCAAGGUUUAAAAUUGAGGCUCAACCUCAAUAUGCCUUGCGAACUGUAAUGCUUGAGUGCAGGAGGGGAAAGCGGAAUUCCUAGUGUAGCGGUGAAAUGCGUAGAGAUUAGGAAGAACACCGGUGGCGAAGGCGGCUUUCUGGACUGCAACUGACACUGAGGCACGAAAGCGUGGGUAGCAAACAGGAUUAGAUACCCUGGUAGUCCACGCCGUAAACGAUGAGCACUAGUUGUUGGUUCCGGAUGGAAUCAGUGACGCAGUUAACG
RNAcentral lists this ribosomal RNA (594 nucleotides) under uncultured bacterium. RNAcentral's name for it is "bacterial SSU rRNA". It matches the Rfam family "Bacterial small subunit ribosomal RNA", at positions 247 to 857 of the family's 1533-position model. The record is from RNAcentral.